This 479-nucleotide ribosomal RNA is filed under the name uncultured bacterium. RNAcentral describes it as "bacterial SSU rRNA". It matches the Rfam family "Bacterial small subunit ribosomal RNA", at positions 30 to 498 of the family's 1533-position model. The record is from RNAcentral.
AUUGAACGCUGGCGGCAUGCCUUACACAUGCAAGUCGAACGGCAGCACGGGUGCUUGCACCUGGUGGCGAGUGGCGAACGGGUGAGUAAUAUAUCGGAACGUACCUUAUCGUGGGGGAUAACGCAGCGAAAGCUGCGCUAAUACCGCAUACGCCCUGAGGGGGAAAGCGGGGGACCGUAAGGCCUCGCGCGAUUAGAGCGGCCGAUAUCUGAUUAGCUUGUUGGUGGGGUAAAAGCCCACCAAGGCGACGAUCAGUAGCUGGUCUGAGAGGACGAUCAGCCACACUGGGACUGAGACACGGCCCAGACUCCUACGGGAGGCAGCAGUGGGGAAUUUUGGACAAUGGGGGCAACCCUGAUCCAGCAAUGCCGCGUGAGUGAAGAAGGCCUUCGGGUUGGUAAAGACUCUUUUGUUCAGGGAGAAACAGCAGCUCUAACACAGUCUGCGAAUGACGGUACCUGAAGAAUAAGACACCGGCU